AGUGAACGCUGGCGGUAGGCCUAACACAUGCAAGUCGAACGGCAGCACAGUAAGAGUUUGCUCCUACGGGUGGCGAGUGGCGGACGGGUGAGGAAUACAUCGGAAUCUACUUUUUCGUGGGUGAUAACGUAGGGAAACUUACGCUAAUACCGCAUACGACUUACGGGUGAAAGCAGGGGUUCUUCGGACCUUGCGCGAUUGAAUGAGCCGAUGUCGGAUUAGCUAGUUGGCGGGGUAAAGGCCCACCAAGGCGACGAUCCGUAGCUGGUCUGAGAGGAUGAUCAGCCACACUGGGACUGAGACACGGUCCAGACUCCUACGGGAGGCAGCAGUGGGGAAUAUUGGACAAUGGGCGCAAGCCUGAUCCAGCCAUACCGCGUGGGUGAAGAAGGCCUUCUGGUUGUAAAGCCCUUUUGUUGGGAAAGAAAAGCAGCAGGUUAAUACCCCGCUGUUCUGACGGUACCCAAAGAAUAAGCACCGGCUAACUUCGUG
Molecule: ribosomal RNA, 492 nt
Filed under: uncultured bacterium
Lineage: Bacteria
Description: partial 16S ribosomal RNA
Rfam family: Bacterial small subunit ribosomal RNA
Source: RNAcentral